AUUGAACGCUGGCGGCAUGCUUUACACAUGCAAGUCGAACGGCAGCGCGGGCUUCGGCCUGGCGGCGAGUGGCGAACGGGUGAGUAAUGCAUCGGAACGUGCCCAGUAGUGGGGGAUAGCCCGGCGAAAGCCGGAUUAAUACCGCAUACGAACUGAGGGUGAAAGCGGGGGACCGAAAGGCCUCGCGCUAUUGGAGCGGCCGAUGUCGGAUUAGCGAGUUGGUGGGGGAAAGGCUUACCAAGGCGACGAUCCGUAGCUGGUCUGAGAGGACGACCAGCCACACUGGGACUGAGACACGGCCCAGACUCCUACGGGAGGCAGCAGUGGGGAAUUUUGGACAAUGGGGGCAACCCUGAUCCAGCCAUGCCGCGUGCGGGAAGAAGGCCUUCGGGUUGUAAACCGCUUUUGUUCGGGAAGAAAUCCUCUGGGCUAAUACCCCGGGGGGAUGACGGUACCGGAAGAAUAAGCACCGGCUAACUACGUG
Molecule: ribosomal RNA, 484 nt
Filed under: uncultured bacterium
Lineage: Bacteria
Description: partial 16S ribosomal RNA
Rfam family: Bacterial small subunit ribosomal RNA
Source: RNAcentral